RNAcentral lists this ribosomal RNA (253 nucleotides) under uncultured bacterium. RNAcentral's name for it is "partial 16S ribosomal RNA". It matches the Rfam family "Bacterial small subunit ribosomal RNA", at positions 524 to 776 of the family's 1533-position model. The record is from RNAcentral.
UACGGGGGGGGCAAGCGUUGUUCGGAAUUACUGGGCGUAAAGGGUUUGUAGGUGGCUUGUUAAGUCAGACGUGAAAUCCCUCAGCUUAACUGGGGAACUGCGUCUGAUACUGGCGAGCUUGAGUGCAGGAGAGGAACGCGGAAUUCCAGGUGUAGCGGUGAAAUGCGUAGAUAUCUGGAGGAACACCGGUGGCGAAGGCGGCGUUCUGGACUGCAACUGACACUGAAAAACGAAAGCCAGGGGAGCAAACGGG